CAGCAGUGUACACAAACACCGUUCUGAGCAUGCCUGGGGAGUACAAUGAAGGAGGCACAGAUCAGACUGAAAAGCGUGAAUGCUGACUGUGAGCUAUACAGAAUCUUAACCCGGUAAUGAAUUCCAAUGAAAGAGAAAGAGUUAAGGGCAAACAAUAUAUGCGAUGAGGACAGGACCCAAAAUUGUGCACUUUGCAUCGAGGAGAUACACACGCUUGAUGAGCAGAGGACGGAGAGAAAGUUGGAGAUUCGGAAAGGGAUCCAAGAAUACGUAUACACACAUGGCCCUGAGUGCCUUCCACAUAAUCCAUGACAUCAGGAACCAGGAGUAUGGAGGAAAUAGCGUCUUCAAGCAAAGUUUCAGAAUCUUGAAACUGUUUUAUACCUUCUUUCAGCCAUACUCUGAAAGAAUACUGAUAUCCCAUGCUGAUUAUCAGGCCUUUUUUAUAUUACACCAUGCUAUCCCUUACAUGCUUAUGAAUAUAUGCCAUGCAUUUGGAGUAUUUAUUGUCUAUGGACCCUGCCAUUUACUCUUAUAGGACCUUUCACACAGGCUUUCUAGGAGAUGUUUUACUUAAUUAUAUUUAACAAGAAAUGGCCUAGGCCUCUGUAAAGAUGUGAAAGGUUUGGAAGUCAGCAACCUGUGUGUCCUUUUUAUAUAAGUAUGCCUAAACUACAGUAAAAAAUCAAUAAUUUCCGAAUACAUUUUCAUUGGGCCUUAUUUUGUUUUUUGUGAUGUUUUUUGAUUUUUUUUGUAUAAUUCAACAACUUUCAAAAUCAGUGAUUAUACUAGGUUCUUUAAGAACUCAUGCUGAUGUUCAAACUCCUGAAAAUGAAUCUUACAGGCUAUGAUCCUACUAGAUAAAAAUCUCAGAUGCAUAUGCUGCUUUGCCACCAGAUCUGCAGCUUUCUUGUGCUGGCAGAAUGCAAGUUCUUUCAGUUCCAAUAGUGUUUGCAUUAAGACUGCAUUGUCAGACAGUAA
Long non-coding RNA from Protopterus annectens (West African lungfish), 981 nucleotides. RefSeq lists it as uncharacterized. The record is from RefSeq and is a predicted model, not a curated record. The transcript has 3 exons. NCBI's taxonomy places the organism in Eukaryota, Metazoa, Chordata, Ceratodontiformes, Protopteridae.